UGGACCAAUAAUAAUAGUGCACCAUGUACCAGAGAUUAUGAACAAUCUAAUUCUGUGCACUGGAGGACCAUG
This 72-nucleotide small nucleolar RNA is filed under the name Choloepus hoffmanni (Hoffmann's two-fingered sloth). RNAcentral describes it as "Small nucleolar RNA SNORD112 (ENSCHOG00000015687.1)". Lineage: Eukaryota; Metazoa; Chordata; Mammalia; Pilosa; Megalonychidae. The record is from RNAcentral.